This 421-nucleotide ribosomal RNA is filed under the name uncultured bacterium. RNAcentral describes it as "bacterial SSU rRNA". It matches the Rfam family "Bacterial small subunit ribosomal RNA", at positions 355 to 773 of the family's 1533-position model. The record is from RNAcentral.
UGAGGAAUAUUGGGCAAUGCCCGCAAGGGUGACCCAGCAACGCCGCGUGGAGGAUGAAUGUCGUAAGAUUGUAAACUCCUGUUAGAGGGGAAGAAUAGUACCGGUUGGACCGGUAUAUGACUGUACCCUCAGAGAAAGCCCCGGCUAACUACGUGCCAGCAGCCGCGGUAAUACGUAGGGGGCAAGCGUUGUCCGGAUUUACUGGGUGUAAAGGGCGCGCAGGCGGAAUGGAAAGUCAGUGGUGAAAUCCUACAGCUUAACUGUAGAACUGCCUUUGAUACUUUCAUUCCUGAGUUGGGGAGAGAGAGACGGAAUUCCAGGUGUAGUGGUGAAAUACGUAGAUAUCUGGAAGAACACCAGUUGCGAAGGCGGUCUCUUGGUCCGAUACUGACGCUGAGGCGCGAAAGCGUGGGGAGCAAAC